Molecule: ribosomal RNA, 1088 nt
Filed under: Campylobacter jejuni
Lineage: Bacteria; Pseudomonadati; Campylobacterota; Epsilonproteobacteria; Campylobacterales; Campylobacteraceae
Description: partial 23S ribosomal RNA
Rfam family: Bacterial large subunit ribosomal RNA
Source: RNAcentral
AAGAGGAUGUAUAGGGUGUGACGCCUGCCCGGUGCUCGAAGGUUAAUUGAUGGGGUUAGCAUUAGCGAAGCUCUUGAUCGAAGCCCGAGUAAACGGCGGCCGUAACUAUAACGGUCCUAAGGUAGCGAAAUUCCUUGUCGGUUAAAUACCGACCUGCAUGAAUGGCGUAACGAGAUGGGAGCUGUCUCAAAGAGGGAUCCAGUGAAAUUGUAGUGGAGGUGAAAAUUCCUCCUACCCGCGGCAAGACGGAAAGACCCCGUGGACCUUUACUACAGCUUGACACUGCUACUUGGAUAAGAAUGUGCAGGAUAGGUGGGAGGCUUUGAGUAUAUGACGCCAGUUGUAUAUGAGCCAUUGUUGAGAUACCACUCUUUCUUAUUUGGGUAGCUAACCAGCUUGAGUUAUCCUCAAGUGGGACAAUGUCUGGUGGGUAGUUUGACUGGGGCGGUCGCCUCCCAAAUAAUAACGGAGGCUUACAAAGGUUGGCUCAGAACGGUUGGAAAUCGUUCGUAGAGUAUAAAGGUAUAAGCCAGCUUAACUGCAAGACAUACAAGUCAAGCAGAGACGAAAGUCGGUCUUAGUGAUCCGGUGGUUCUGUGUGGAAGGGCCAUCGCUCAAAGGAUAAAAGGUACCCCGGGGAUAACAGGCUGAUCUCCCCCAAGAGCUCACAUCGACGGGGAGGUUUGGCACCUCGAUGUCGGCUCAUCGCAUCCUGGGGCUGGAGCAGGUCCCAAGGGUAUGGCUGUUCGCCAUUUAAAGCGGUACGCGAGCUGGGUUCAGAACGUCGUGAGACAGUUCGGUCCCUAUCUGCCGUGGGCGUAAGAAGAUUGAAGAGAUUUGACCCUAGUACGAGAGGACCGGGUUGAACAAACCACUGGUGUAGCUGUUGUUCUGCCAAGAGCAUCGCAGCGUAGCUAAGUUUGGAAAGGAUAAACGCUGAAAGCAUCUAAGCGUGAAGCCAACUCUAAGAUGAAUCUUCUCUAAGCUCUCUAGAAGACUACUAGUUUGAUAGGCUGGGUGUGUAAUGGAUGAAAGUCCUUUAGCUGACCAGUACUAAUAGAGCGUUUGGCUUAUCUUUAAUAAAGCAU